AGUGAACGCUGGCGGUAGGCCUAACACAUGCAAGUCGAACGGCAGCACAGUAAGAGCUUGCUCUUACGGGUGGCGAGUGGCGGACGGGUGAGGAAUACAUCGGAAUCUACUUUUUCGUGGGGGAUAACGUAGGGAAACUUACGCUAAUACCGCAUACGACCUACGGGUGAAAGCAGGGGAUCUUCGGACCUUGCGCGAUUGAAUGAGCCGAUGUCGGAUUAGCUAGUUGGCGGGGUAAAGGCCCACCAAGGCGACGAUCCGUAGCUGGUCUGAGAGGAUGAUCAGCCACACUGGAACUGGGACACGGUCCAGACUCCUACGGAGGCAGCAGUGGGGAAUAUUGGACAAUGGGCGCAAGCCUGAUCCAGCCAUACCGCGUGGGUGAAGAAGGCCUUCGGGUUGUAAAGCCCUUUUGUUGGGAAAGAAAAGCAGCAGGUUAAUACCCCGCUGUUCUGACGGUACCCAAAGAAUAAGCACCGGCUAACUUCGUG
This 491-nucleotide ribosomal RNA is filed under the name uncultured bacterium. RNAcentral describes it as "partial 16S ribosomal RNA". It matches the Rfam family "Bacterial small subunit ribosomal RNA", at positions 29 to 507 of the family's 1533-position model. The record is from RNAcentral.